UGGGGAUGGCUACCCGUAUCCUUCCUAGCUCCAGGCUGACAGUGUUGCCAGUCAAAUCAGAGCACAGCUUCCUGCAAUGUUUAUGCUAGCAUAUGUCCUAGACUUUGCAGGGAGAUAAAGGAGCGCAUGGCCUUCCCUUCUGUGCUCUUAAACGCUCUGUCCCAAGAGGGUCAGUCCUCCACAAUGACACAACCAGUUUAUGCUCAGAUGUGUUCUUCUCCACCCCAUUUCUUCUCCCUGGAUGUUACAUAAAAGAUGUGUUUUCCGACAGCCUUUGGAAAUGUAAUGUCAUCCAAGCUUGUUCUUCAACCGGGAGCCCUUGCUCUCAGGCAUGUUCCUGGUGUCAUUUAACAGCAGGGAGUGGAGCUUCCUCCUCUCCAAGUGUGCAGUGUUCUGUUGGGCUGGCCUGUGGUCUGCCAGGGUAACAGCUACUUCUUCAUUCUGGAGACAGGACUUUGCUUUCUGCUGUGCUCAUGGUGAAGUGAAUCCCACAGCAGAUCUUGGCGGGGGGGGGUGGGGCGGGGGGAGCUGCUGGGGCUGUCUGAGCUGGUGCAGUGGGAGCCAAGGUUGAGGUGGGGGCAACCUCAGUGUGCUGGGGAGCUGCUAAACCUGCAGCUGCCUCUUGCUUGGCAGGGAGCAGUGCUCCCAGCUGCCCCAGCAGCAAACCCUGUAAGCUUUCAGUGGUGAGGUAUUAACAUGAAUAAGCAUUUCUUCAGGAAGCAUUCCUGAAAUGCCGGGUCCAGCUCUGCGGUGCUGCCUGGGACUGCCAGUGGGAGGUAUAUGACCUACAGAUGUCUGAGUUUUCUUUUUGCUUCUGCAUCUUAGUGAUUCCCUGCUGGUGUAACCUUUACUGGUGCCCACUGGAAAGAGUUCAUGCUGUCAGGCGUUAGCAACUAAACGGUGGGGAACUGCCUUGCUGGUGAGCUAAGGCCUUUUGGCCCUCUUCAUAUCCUAGUCCAUCAGCAAACCCCUGCGUUGCGAGGAGGGGGUGAGAAUCUUUCAGCCCAGCGCUGUGCUCUGCACCCUCCUGACAGGAGAGGCACAGGAGCCCUGCAGAGCUCCCCAGCUCCUCGUGCUAGCCCUGCAGUGCUGGGGACCCCAGAGAAGAGGGGGAGCCACUGCACCCAGGAGAAGGGAACGGGUUCACCCAGGGUGCAGGAAUUCCAGGAAUGCGGCUGCCCUGGGGCACUGCCUGGGUGGGGCUGCUCAGGCAGAGGAGCUUGGUUUCGAUUAAUAGCCCAGGAUCUGCUGGCCAUUUCAUCAGGAUGUAUCUGGCCCAUUAGCCCUCUCAUCCUGCAGAUAACCCUGGCCAAAUGCUGAGUUCCUUCCCCCUCCCUCUGGCUUUGGCUUUUAAAGCCACAGCUUAGUCUUGGAAUUGAGUGAUCAAAUUGAGGUUUCCAAGCUAGUGUGGCUGUUGCUGUUAGUGACGGAUUGGGCUGUAUCCUGGAGACCUAGGCGAUAAUGCAAUCUGAUUUUUUGUAAAUGAACUCUCUGGGGGAUUUAGAUUAAAUCACUGGUGGAAAAUCACUGGUCCCUGCUUGUGGGGAAUGAAAUACCGCCUCCCUAUUCCCCACCCCCACCCAUCACGAUUCAGACUCUUCAAUUUUUUUGUGUCUGCCUGUAAAUUAAUUGUUUGGAGCAAAUAUUUGUUCAACAGAUUGUGGAAGGGUCAGGACUUGUCUCUAUCUGGCCCACCCACCAGCUCUUGCUUUGAAAUCACCGUUAGCCAUGUUUCCCACCCAGGGGAGCAGCCUUGCCCCUCCUCUUCUAACCUUGAACCCAGCUUCUAAUUUCACUGCUCAGACUGCGCCAGUAGCUGAAGGGGACCCAGGCAAGGGUGGUAAAGGCCAUAGUGGGGGGAUUCACCCCACCAGUCACCAAAAAAAAAGGGGGGGGGGUUGGGCAAUGUGGCUGCUGGCGCCUGUUGCAAACCCCAACCAGUGGUUGUUUGACAUCUCAGCUGUAACUUUCCUCCGUACUCAGGGUUCACCGUGUCCCUUCUCGGGGGGGGCAGCCGGUGCAGCGCAGCAGCAGCACAGGGGCCAUAAGAGCUCCUAAGUGCCUUGUGCAUGGGGUGUGCGGAUGCUUUGCUUCACUCUCGCGCGACUCCAGCUGCGGGGAGAAAGCUGCUGGCCUGCUGCCAGCUCUCCCUGCAAGAAGAAUGCCACCCUGCACUUGCUGUUGUGGAGCAGUCCCUCUCCUGCCACCCUGUUUGCAUGGGGAGCCUGUUUGGUGCAUCUGAGCUGUUAGAGCCUGUCCCAUGCAAACAAAGCUCUCCUGAGAGGUGCAGCAGGCGGGUCCCGGUGAGAGGGAUGCAAGUUCUGGCAGGCCUGCUUGGCAGGUGGUGUGUGUUUGGAGCACUGCAGCACUUCUCUUCCUGGAAAGCCCCUCUGAAAGAGGGAAGGAGCGUGGCUCCAUCACAAGUGUCGUGCAGCAUGGUUGCGUAGGAAGCUCUGUUUCAUUUCCCACCAGUGGAACAAAGGCAAGCAUAGGAUGGCCAUGGGGUGCAGGUUGCCUUUGGAGAGGCCUGCUAAGGCUGCUGUGUGCUGGGCUGUAGCAGUUUUCUUGAGAAAACCAUUUUUUGAGGUGAGGGAGAAAUCGUAAAUCUUGCUACGCAACAUUAAUGUGGGUGUGUUUUGCCACGUUUACUGGCUCAGCCUUGGUUUGCCCUCCUCUCUGCAAUCUGGCACUCGGAAAACAAGCAAACAAGAACAACCCGAGGGGUGCAUUUAAUAACCAGCCAGAAGAGAGCUGCUGCCUCAGUGAGCCAUCAAAACCAAAGAGACUGCUUUUCUGGGGCAGUUGCUUUGUCUGGGACCAGAUUCCACUAGCUGUGAAAUUCAAACAGUGAUCCCAGUGGGGACUGGGAGUCAUAGGGUGAGAAAUUUGGUGAGUGGGAAUGCUGGAGGGGGAAGUGUGGGGUGAGUGGGAGAGAGCCUGCCAGGCAGAGAUGUAUUGACCGUGCUUAAUCUGAGAAAGGAAAGUGAACAGUAGUUCCUGCCUGGCUGUGACCCUUCAGUGGAUGUCAGCUUUUCCUUUGAGGCUAAAUCUAUGUUCGGAGUGGGAUAUAAAGAGGGUGUUCUGUGUGGGCUUGGAAGCAGAUCUGUGGACAUAGAGGCAAGAGGUUUCCCAUUUGCAGGGCAUAUGGUGGGGACCAGCAUGAAAGGGCUCUGUCAGGCCAGGACUGAUGCAAACAGCAUCUUGGUCACCAGUCUGUGACAUCUGAAUCCUGACACGCUGGGCUGGGCUGAAGGAGGAUGGACUGCUUCCCGUGUUGGCUCUGUGCAUCCUGGGGCUCUCAGGCAGCCCUGGCUGUGCAGGGCUUGGUGUGCCGACACGUACAUGUUGUGUCACUCUGCAGUGGACUGGAAGCUUGUGGUUCUGUUUGGGGAAAACCCUUAGAAGAUGUCAAUAUAACAAACUCAUUUUCUAUCUUUGUGAUUUUUUUUCCUAAAUGAUAGGAAAUGAGACAGCCUGUGUCAUAUGACAGAGUGCAGCUGGGAUUUUGUAGUGUGCUCUUGCUCCAACCUUCUCAAUGGUUUCAGGUUGAGAGCUAGACUUCACUUCUCAGCUCUUCUGAAAUGCUUUCUAGCCUUGUGCCGUUGCCCAGCUGUCCCACACAAGCCUUCACUGUGACUACCACAUUAUCUAGCUGAUCCCGGGUGCCCCAGGAUCCUCAGACCUUCUGGAUCCAAGCUUUUUGGGCAGCGUGAGGUAAGAGCAAGUUAGAGUUCUGCUGCUGUUGUACCCUGAGACGUGGAGAGGAGCACCAUGCGAGGUGCGCAUGGCGCGCAUAGAAGAGGCGCAGAUGCGUGUUGUGCUGUUUGGGGAACGCAGCUCCCUCUGGGGUGAGCACUGUUUGCCCAAGCUCUGCCAUUCUGAGCAUUAACAUGUGGGGUUUCAGGGAUGCCCUGGUGCUGCUAAUCCCGUCUGAGAUCACAGCCAUCAGUUUCGCUUGCUGGCCAACACGCAGCAGAGCUGGCUGUAGGGGGUGGCUGUGGAUAGCCAAGGCUGCGAUUUGCUGUCUUAGAGAUGAAUCCCAACGAGUGGUCUGCAAAGCUUAGCUGGGCUACAGCUUUCCACUCUGUCCUCUGUAAUUAUUUUACAAUCUGGAUCACUUGCCCCCAUUGUCAUCACCUGCUUGGGAUGGAAAAAAUACUCUCCUGCUAGCUGAGUCCCCUUGUGUCCCUUCACAGUCCUAGACGUUCCUCUCCAACUAUGGGAACUGCCGGUCACUGCCGGCAGGGCCUUGGCUCAGGCUGUCCUGCCUGGCACGGCCAUCCCAGGUAGCUGUAUCCCUGCUGGCAGCUGGAGAUCGGGCUCAUGGUGCAGAUCCCUGACAGCUUCUCGCCCUGCCCGCAACCUGGGAGGCUUUUCUGCAGUGCUCUCCAGGAAAUGCCAUUGGAAUGACUUCCACUGCAGCUUCCUGCCCGGCCCGCAGCAGCAUUCCUGCCGCUAGACCCAGAACGAUGCAGAGGCGAGUUUUUAGAGCUUUGCUCUUCGCCCCUUUUACUCGGUUCUCCUUCUUUGGGGCCCUGCCUGUUUUCCUCGCUGCCUCUCGGUACACGGUGCAGUUUGGUUACGUUCCUUAGAUCUGUGAUUAGAGCAGGCGCCUGGAAGGCAGAGGUCCUGCCCAUGGCUGGCUGUGGCUGAGAGCAGCCCACUUAACCCCGUGGUCUUUCAGCAAAAGGGAUAGCGUUUCCUGCCCUCCCAGGGGAGCCACUGGGAACUCAGAUUUGUAAAGCACUCUGAGGUUCUUUAAUCCGAAGAAUCGAGUGCUAUUUAGAAAAAAGACCUGUGAAAUAAUUUAAAAAGUGUUUUCUUGCUGCUCUGUGUUCAUAACUCUUCUAGGUAAUGUCAGUCUUCCUGAUCAUCCUGCUGUUCCUCUGAAACCCAAGCUAGGUCCCCCUGCACACUGCCCGGGGUCCCUCCCCAUUUCGGCAGUAAUGGGGUGUCCCACUGCAGCAGAAGAGAUGGGAGGGAGCACCAUGCUCUCUUUUCCCCUGUGGAAGAUGCCGUUUUCUGUACGCCUCUGGGGUGCUGCACCUGAUUUCUGUGGAGCUCCUGUACAAUCUGUGUAUGUGGUGUACCCCCAGGAGCAGCAAUACACCUGUGGCCUACACCGCAUACAGGCUGAACGGCGGGGCGAUGCUUUGAGGCCUUUGCUUAGGCUUCUCUCCUUUGAUUUUUACCAAGCUGCUGAUGGCUGUAAGCACAGUCCCAUCUUGACGUUACAAGGCGUAUUUCUCUAGCAGCUCUUUCCUCACUAGCUGUAAAGCCAGAGUAUUCCCAGAAGGAGCUGGGGGAAGGGUUGGAUAUCAGUUGUGGGAGUGUUGCAGACUUGCUGAACCAGGAGGCGAGGGAUUAAUGGGGGCAGCUGCUCUCUCCCCUUUGGUGACCCCCAUAGCAGUUGGGAUGUUGACCUACCCGCUGUCUGAUUCAGUGUGAAGGUAAGCUCUGCAGGGUGGCUCUGCCUUUGGGUGGCAGGAAAGCAGCGAUGUUCUCCUCCUCCCUCCCAAGAGGGAUGUUACCCUUAAAAUGUUGUUGUUCUGAGCAACUAAAGAUUAACGUAGAUAAUGGAGGCAUGAAAGGGAAGCGGUGUGCCUCUGUGCCAGGGCUCUCCUUGGUUUGCUGCCCUGGCCUUGAACAGGGAAACUGUUCCUCCUCCCUGCUGUUCACCUGGAAGGAUGUGCAGAGGGGUGUUUGGUGCCAGAUCUCUCUGAAGUCCUGCUCCUGAUUGUCCUUGGAAUGCCAAGGGAUUAAGUUAGGGGAUGUGCUUUCUGGAGGCACCCAAGAGCGGUGUGCCCGUGGGUGCACCGGCACAGCUUCAGGGUGUGGGUUGGCCCUGGCCACGUUCAGGUGGGGAGAAGGGUUACUCUUUGCCACGGAAGCAGAACAGCCCAGCAGAGCGAGGGUGCAGAGAACUGCUGAGAGGCAGAGCCGUUAGCAGAUGGCUCCAGCUGGGCUUACCGGGGAGCAGGUGUGGGUUUCGGGAGGCAGCCUUUUAAGAGAGAUGUCAGUUUUGAACCCAGGAGGCUCGAGGGGCUGAGCCGUGGCUGCCACGACUUGCAUGCUGGGGAGCUGUGACCUAGUUGUGCUAUAGAAAUGCUCGGUUUAUUUUUUAUUUUUAGGUAUUUUGCUUAUUUUAUCCUCAUGUUUAAUUUAGUUAGCAAAAGAAUCUGAGGGUUGAGCAGUGCUGGGAAGGACUGCCUGCAGGCGGGAACGCCCGCUGCAGCUCCUUCGUGCAGCUAGCAUCUCUCCAGCCGCCCGUGUCUUCUCUCGGACACGUGCUCACGUGUACCAGCCCAGUGCUGUCUCUCAGGAUCUCUUUAAUGGGAAACCCAGUGCACUCAGCACUGCUGCCUGCCUCCAGGGUAGCGAGGGAAGGAGGAGCGGGAUUCGGAGCAUUAACCAGAGAGGCUCCCGUGGCCAUGGGGACCGUUUGAACAUUGUGCUGUAACCGGUCUGCCUUCCCUUUGCUACUGGGAGCAGGGUGAGCGUGGUGUUUCAGGAGGUUUUGGGCUGGUAACUCUCUCAACCACUGCUUGCCCCUGCAUUUACACAGCGUGCCCAAGGAAGGGUAAUGGGCUGUAUCUGUGAGGAGGGAAGUUUCAGGGGUCUGUGCAAUUCCCUUGGGGAGAGCUGCUUGAAUUUAUUGCAUUAUCCUCCUUCCUGCUCAAGCUUGUGUUUCAGCUGUGUCUGCAGACAUAGCUUCUGAUUUAAGUAGAUCCAAUUAGUAGCUAGCUUCUGGCACCAGUAUCCUGCCCAGGGAGAUGGGCCCUGGAGAUGAGAAGCCUCCAGUGGGAGCAAGGCUGGGCUCAGCCUUUCUGCCCCUGCUCCUGAUCUAGGAUGGACCUGGAGCUCCCAGCUCGCAGCCCUGAGCAUGGGGGGAAACCGAGGCAGGUGUCCUCUGCUCCGUGCUCCACCUGGCCAAGAACAAAGAGCAGGCAGGUUCUCCCUGCCAGUACUGCUGCCAGCCAGGUGCUCUUAAGACUGAAAUCAAAUACUCCAAAACGUGACAGCUUAGCAGCAGGCAGGGCUUGGAGCAGGAGCAGGAGCUGCUCAUGCCGGGAGGUGUGCGAGGGGCCAACGGGCAGAGCUGUGCAGGGACCUGUCUUUUGGGGGUAGGCCUGUACACCUGAGGGGAGCAAGCUGCUGGAGCUGGCUGCUUCCCAAAGGAGUAUAGAAGGGUUUUCUUCUCUGCUGGAGGGUGAAGGGCUCUUUGGGAAGCUCAGAGAAGAGGCUGAGGCUGGCACGGACCUGGCUUGGUUUGAAUACAGCUAGCACCACGCUCAGGUGGAGCAGGACAGCUCUCGGCUUCAUUAGUUCUCCAAAUUAUGCUAGUCCCGUUUGCACAUCUGUCUGUUUUCUGCCUUCAUUGAAGCUGGGGACGCUACAAGCAUUGUGUAGGGAGCACGGCUGGUGGCAGUACGAGACAUUACUCUGUGUGUGUAAAUUGUAGUGAGCUGGCUCAGGGUUUGGGCUGGAAUGUGGGAGUUGGGCGUGUGUGUGGCCCUGGGUAGUGUCUGGGUGACAUAUGACUUAUGUAUGGAGAAAAUGAGGUGUUGCUACCUGUAAAUCAGCCUUCACAGCAGUGUUGCAAGUGCUUCCAUCCUGUUAUGGUAUGGCUCACCAGUGUAUUAAACUUGCUGGAGCUAAUAUCUUUUAUUAGAGCAACUGACCUCAUUUAAAAGCUUCCAGUGCACCAGCCAGUGAUUAUUUCAUGCAACAACACGUAUGGAGGAGCCCAGGGCAGAGCACAAAGUCUCCUUCUCGUGCUGCACCAUUCUCUCCCACAUUUGCUACAUCAGCUGCCUACUCUGCUUCCUGCCCUCAAGUCAGCAAGGAUUUUGCUAAAAAGGACUUUGCGGCCUGAAUCAUUUGAUAUUUCAUGUGGACUAACAGGAAGUGAAAACAGAAUGAGCACAUCUUCCUCCUCUUCCUGUACCUCCACCCUUUCCCCUUUUUCAUUCAAGUGGCUUGUAAGAAUUACAGCAGCCUUGUGGAGUUCUGGGGCUGAAGUGGGAAGUGGUGAGGCUUGGCCAGUGCUCCUCCGGGAUGCUGGAGGAUGAGUGGCUUGAGGUGGGAGAACCAGGCGGCCCUUCCCUGGGACCCGUCUCCCCAGGAACCAUCCGUGCACCCAGCCUCACUCCCUCAUGCUCUGGUAAUGCUGCUGUUCCCUGCAGGGUGGGUUUGGGGUAGGGGCUGUGGUGCAGCUGAGGGCUGGGGAGAGCUGUCGGCAUUGCACGACUCAGCCCUUGGAUAGGAGGGAACGUGGCUCCGCAGCUGGGCACACGUGAGCAAGGCACGUCCCCUCGGCGCAGGUUUCCCCACAGUUACACAAGGGCAUGAUUGCACAGGAGCUGUGACGUCUGGGAAGAGCAAGAGCAACGACAAGGUGAAAACUGAGCUUCGUUCCCUGGGUGCAGGUGACCCUGUCGAGGUGCUUGUCUGGUGCAGCGAGCUGGCUGUGGCACUCGGGCUCCCAGCACCACGGGCAGCAGAUAACCAUGAAAUUAAAGCAGGAGUCUUCCCCUGCCCCCCCGAGCGUGCCCCUCGCACAAAGGCAGGCAGGCUGCUCUGCCUGCUGGGGCUCAGACACCAUCUGUCCGGUGGGGAGAAGCAUCAGAGAGACCGUCUUUCCUCGGACUAUUCCACUUAAUGCCCUUUGGAAAACAAUCCCAUUCCCAGCAGGUGCUAAUCUCUUGAGUGGAUCCGGCUCAGCCAAUGUGUUCUUCGCUGUGCCUUUGUACCAGAGCCUUGUCGCCUGCCAGCCGUCCCACUGCUGAGCACGCCCGGUGCUGGCCGGGCCUUCAGCACCUUUGGGAGCCCUCAGCCCGGUUCGUUCUGGGAGAAACGCUGAUGAAAGAUGGAUGCAAGUGGAUUAGUCAUUCGCACAGUCUCCAGCUUUAAUACAGAUGAAUGUUUCAGCACAUUUCUGGAGCGAAGAGCGCAAUUCCCUGCUCUCCAUCUCGUGCUGUGCACAGCAGUCUCCCGGGGCAGGGAUGGGGGUUACAGCUGUCACCAUAGCCCCUUUCAUGUAUUUGGAAAAUGCUGAAAUCGUACUGAAUGGUGUGGGGUUAUUGCAGGUUCCCUGGAGAUGGUGAUGAAACCAGUUUGACAGGAGGCUGCCGCGGUGAGGAUUAGGGCUGGAAUGUGCUAGUGAGGGUUUGUUUCUGGUUAGAAAAGGUCUGGCUCUGGCCCUCAACUGGGCUGAAGCCCUGCAGGUGUGUUGGGCUUCAGGCUUCGGCCCCAAGGACAGCCUCCCUGUGGGGACUGCAGGCUGCACCCCACUGCUUCUUGGCUUGGUCUGUGCCUAGGCCAGCCCGGAGGAGAGAGAGGCAGGGAUGUGCUUAUUUAAUUAACCCUUUUGAGCUUAUGGCUGCAUCCCUCAGAGUCACAGAUUCCUCUGAAUGCAGAGCCCUGGAGCUUGGGCAAGGGCAGCACCACAGUGCCGACAGCACCCAAGUGCCUGUUCCCAGGGCGGGAGAUGCCGUAGAGGCAGUGGAGUGGGUGGCAUUCCCGGCCAUUGUCAUGGAGAUCAGCAGCUGCUUCCCUGGAGGUCACCAUUUGCAUAACAGUUAGAGCGGGGUCUGGAGUAUUUGCACCUGCGAGUGUGCUGUUCCCAGAGCCCCUUCGCCUCCCCGUGUCCCCUGAGCCCUUCCCACCCCAUUCCGAGCCUGCCUAGGGUGGCUGACAGGGACCAGCGAAGUGAAACGGGAUCCGGAGAAGCUCCAAGCUCUGCCUUGGGUGGCAGGUUUCCUUGGCAUGCUCCCGAGUUGGGGGCUCACGUUGGCCUCCAGUCCCAAUGCUGCAGGCAGUGGUGUGUGACUGGUGCAGGCAUGCUCGGUGUCCGUGCUGCCCUGCUUUCGGGCCUGGGAUUCUGACAGGGCUGGGGGUGGUGGGGGCCACACAUGGAUGCGACGUCUGGGGGAGCAGGUUGGAGGGAAAACCUCCAGGAUGUCUCUUCCACUUCCGUAGUGCGUAAAGACCCACCAAGCUGUGUUUACAGGAUCCUAGUGCAGCCUUUGGGGAUACCUACAUUUUCUUCUUUUCUGAGGGAUCUCAGCUGCCUUUUUCCCACUGUGCUUCAGUUCCAGGUUCGCAUAUGCCAGUCCCAUGCAGUGAGCUGGCAGCCCAAAGGGGCUCUGGGAGCAGGUUGCUGUCGAUGCAGGGCUUUGUUGUGGUCUGUGCUGAGCUGCUGCCUUUCUUGUCUCGCUGCUCAGCACAAAACUGUUCCCAGCAUCUCAUUAACAAAUGUCAGGUCAUCCAGAUGACUCCACUCCUGGCCAGCGAUUGGCGUUAGACCUCUUAGCAGUAACACAGCUGUACUUACAGCAAAGGUAUAACAGAAACAGCCUUGUUUUCAAGUGAAACAUUGCCUCAUGACAAGAAUGCCUGGACUGGGAGUCAGAUGCUGUGGUUCAGGCUGCUGACUUCUAUGCAACUCUAGGGAAAGCACAUAACCUCUCCGCACCUCUGUGGAUCUGUCUGGGAACAAUGCUGACUUAGCCCACAGGAGGGUUUGGAGAAUCAACUAAGUUUUAAUAAAACACAUUAAGAUCCUUGGGUGGGAAAGGCUUUUGUGUAUGCUGAGCUGGUUGCUGUGGGUGUCUGUCACGAAGACAGGCUGGCUGGGUAUCUGGGCCGUGGGGAAGCUCUAUAGUUCUUGCUGGAGGUCUGACUUCAACACGUAGACUCCAACAAGUACCACUGGUUCACCGUAAAUAGUCCCAGAAGAGCCUGGCUCUUCUCUGCUGAUUUUCAGAGCUCUGUGCUGGUGUCUCAAUGACUUCUGUACCCUUUACCUCCCUGUGCAAGGGAGGCUUUGAGCACCCAGACUCAGCCCUCCCCAGCAGCCAGAACCCUCCCUUCCCUGCUCUGCCCCUGGCUAACAAGAGACCAGGUGGGGAUUCACUGCCCGCAUCUACUUCCUUCACCUGCCCUCAUGGGCCAGUGUCACUGAAUCCUCUUUCCCCAAGUGUUGGGUCUUAUUUUGAAAGAGGAACCCGGCCUGCCCCGCUCGAUCUGAAUGGGAUCUAGCAACUGAUCCCCCUCCCGCUCGUCCGGGGAAGCUGCUCCAGCAGGGCUAUGAAUGAAACCCACUGAACCUCUGGGGGUGGGAAGAGGCUGAAACUUCGGGUCUUCCCCUUCCCGUUUCCAGGCCAGGAUGUGAAUGCUGUCUCAGCCAGACUGUGCUUGAUUAUUCUGCUGUCCGAGACAGAGCACUUUGGGACGGACAUACUUCUCUUUUUCUCUCUACCACGGUGUCACAUAUUGUCACUGUGCAGUGUUUAAAUGGCUGCUGCAUUCCUCCCCCCCUGCCCCCGCAGCCGUCCCUGGCGGUGGGUUGCAGUUUGGAGCACUGCAGGUGUCUCAGGAGCCUUUGGCACUGCAGAACCUCCCUGCCCCAGCUCUGUGGGGUGGUGAACACUGGUGGAGUCUGGAUCUCCUCCUGAUCCUCCGUCUCCUGCAAGCAGCACCUUCAACUGCAGGGAAGCCCCCCGGCCCUCCCCCAGCAAGUGCUGGUUUAGGCUCCAGCCAAAAAAAGUCAUGUCCUUCCCCAGCACUGGGGGAGGAGAGGCAAAGCCACGGGAUUGCCUUUUGCGUAGGCAUAAUGUCUCACUGCUUCCUCAUGGCCUGCCCCCAAGAGCAUCCUCCUCUUGGACGUGUCUGUCACCCGGGGUGGGGAAGGGGAUGUGACGGGUGUUCAGUGGUGGAACAGCCUGUCCUCUCUGGGGUGGAAGAGGCCCACGGGCAUGCAGAGAGGGCUGUUGAGACAUUGACGUGCUGUUGCUACCAUAGUCCUUGUGAACAACUCAGGAAUUCCAAAUAUUUCCUCUCAGAUAAAGGUGACUGGGGGAGGCCAGAAAUAUCUGGACGUGUCUGGGCAAGCCUCAGAUCCCAAACACCAGGCCGGAGAGGUCAGAAUUGGUACUGGGAGUGCUGGGCUUCAGGUGCAGAGCGGCCGAGGCCCAGGGCUGUGUGGGAACUGAGCAAGCUGCCUUUCCCUAACCUUCAUCCCACCCCCAAGAUGGGGAGGGAGGAUGCUCCUGCCUGUUUUCCCACUCCCCCUGGUCUGGGAUUGCUAUUCCCAGGGGACACAUCUGGAAUCGCAGUUGUGCAGGGGCUGAGCUAUCGCAGCUUCUGGCGAUGGUUUCCCCAAGGAAGUGCAAAGCGCUUUCCUCCCGAGUCCCCUGCGGCCCCCAGCUGCGUCUCCAGCAGCUGCUGCUCUGUUCCCGGGGGAAGGACAGGGGAACAGAGGGGCUUGUGUCCCCUCCCUGUCCGCACAGGACUCUUGUCGUGCUCCUCUCCGUCUGUAGCACCCGAUAGCUCUUCAUUCACCGAAUGCUAUUUAUCUCUUGUUCAGCAAACACUUCCUUUUCUUAGAAGUAAGGGCUUCAAAACAUGCUUCUUGGAACUGCCUUUCCCCAAGCUCGAGAAGGCAGCAGGGAGGCUCAGCUGCCAGCCCUCCCCAGCUCCUGCCCUGGAUGUGGGGGCCCUCUCCUGGUCUGCCCCACUGCUGGCCCUAUGGAGAGGCUGAGUGACUGCACAACCCCUUCUGCCUCUGCAGCCUUCCUUGGGACAGUGGAGACAUCCUCUCCCGCGGGUCAGGAGGAGCCUGCAGAGAUGCAUGGGGCUCUCGGUGGAGCAGGCUUUACUGAAUCCCCAAGCAAAGUGGCUUUUUCUGGGCAAUACCUCACGAGGGCACAGCAUCCUUCCUCCCACUGAGAGCUCCUGCAGCGUUGGGUGCUGUGAGUGUGUGGUGGGGACAUGUGUCCGAGGGAAGGACCUUCCCCAGGGGCAAGGGCCCUGGUACAGAGGGAUGUUGUAGGGGUGGUGGAGGCACUCCACAGCUGGUGGUUUUGGAUGUGCCUGUGCCUUCUGACCCAGUUGCCCAGAGCCCUCCAUCCCCGCCAGCCUGCUCUUGGUUUACUGCCACUUGCUGUGCUCUGUCACCACUCCACUGCUUGUCACCACCUAUCAGCAGAGGGAUUUCCUGUGCCGUAAUUAAAAAUAUCCCCUCCUUGGGCCUGGAUUCUCCUCCCAUCCCUCUCCUGCAGCACAUCACUGGCCGUUCCCAUGACCAUCACCCUGGGUGAGCGGCUGGGCAGAGGGGCUGGCAGCAGGCAGCAGCCCUCACCUUUCUGCCUGGAUGGUACCUGCGUGUGAGCCACCAUCCUGCCCGUUCCUGCGGGGCUGGGAUGCAAUACAACACCUCCACAGAGCCUGCGCCAGCUGGCAGGCCUGGUGGGAAGCGAGCUGCCUUCUGCUGCUCUGCGUAGGUGGCAGGAGUCACGGGGACAGUUGUAACAUCCCUGAAGAGGACUCUGAGUGAGGUGGCAGCAGUGACGUGCCCCAGGGAGCGGUUUGUGGACCUCUACGGGAACAAUGCUGCUGCCGAGGUGAGGAAGGGCCAGGAGACCUUCAACAAAUGGCUCCUGACCGGGGCGACGGUGGCAGGAGUGCUUCUGCUGGGAUCCCUGCUGAGCCGCAAGUGAC
RNA transcript from Falco peregrinus (peregrine falcon), 13503 nucleotides. It is a transcript of the gene named BCL2 like 1, with no coding region annotated. NCBI's taxonomy places the organism in Eukaryota, Metazoa, Chordata, Aves, Falconiformes, Falconidae. The transcript has 2 exons. The record is from RefSeq and is a predicted model, not a curated record.